AAUGACACCCAUCUCGCCGGGGCGGGGGCCGGAGGGGCAGUCGGGACCCGCUGCCGCCGGGCAGGCCGGCGGAGACGCAGAGGGCUCGCAAAGGAAAUUCAUUAAACACCUGAAAUGGAUUAUGACCAGGCUAAUGGAUCAAGUCCUGGAAAGAAACUAUACUCUGAAAUGUAGAGAUGAGAAUAAGGACAAGAGAACAAGAAGAAGAGUUGUCAUCAGACCUUGUCAGUUGUGACUUCUCUUCAUGGUCUUUGCCUCUUGUGUGUGCACUUACUGCAGUGAUUCAUGCACCAUGCUGGGCUUCCAUGGGUAAUUCUGGGAAUGGACUAUAUGAAAAAAUAAGAUAACAUUAUAACAGAAAAUCAAGAUAUUACCCAGAUUUGAUAAACUUUUGGAUGAAUACCAUGUCACCCAAAUAUAGCUUAAGCCAGUUUUACAAUCACACGUUGAAAAUUCUACCAGCCAGUAGUUCAAAGGCAGUGCUUUUCUCAGGGGAAAAUAUGCAGGAGUGACUGGAGGAGGUUCUGUUCAGGGAGUAUAAUGGCAAGAACCGUGCUAGCAAGAUAUUUUAUUUAAAAUUAGAGUUUUGAAAUCGAUCAGAGAGUGAAUUUUGUAUGUCAGAUGGAUGCAUUAUUUAACACAGGAUCCUUCACAGAUUGUUUAAGCUCACGCUCCUAUGUACAGAUGUGAAAGCAAUACAAUAAAGACUACCUUUUCCAUGAAAAAU
Sturnus vulgaris (Common starling) is the source of this 727-nucleotide non-coding RNA. Lineage: Eukaryota; Metazoa; Chordata; Aves; Passeriformes; Sturnidae. The record is from RefSeq and is a predicted model, not a curated record.